GACGAACGCUGGCGGCGUGCUUAACACAUGCAAGUCGAACGGAAAGGCCCUGCUUUUGUGGGGUGCUCGAGUGGCGAACGGGUGAGUAACACGGGAGUAACCUGCCCUUGACUUUGGGAUAACUUCAGGAAACUGGGGCUAAAACCGGAUAGGAGCUCCUGCUGCAUGGUGGGGGUUGGAAAGUUUCGGCGGUUGGGGAUGGACUCGCGGCUUAUCAGCUUGUUGGUGGGGUAGUGGCUUACCAAGGCUUUGACGGGUAGCCGGCCUGAGAGGGUGACCGGCCACAUUGGGACUGAGAUACGGCCCAGACUCCUACGGGAGGCAGCAGUGGGGAAUAUUGCACAAUGGGCGGAAGCCUGAUGCAGCAACGCCGCGUGCGGGAUGACGGCCUUCGGGUUGUAAACCGCUUUCGCCUGUGACGAAGCGUGAGUGACGGUAAUGGGUAAAGAAGCACCGGCUAACUACGUG
Molecule: ribosomal RNA, 468 nt
Filed under: uncultured bacterium
Lineage: Bacteria
Description: partial 16S ribosomal RNA
Rfam family: Bacterial small subunit ribosomal RNA
Source: RNAcentral